CCCCAGUGUGCUUGGGUCAUGGACAAGAUACAUCAGAAAUACAUCUACACGUGGAACAACUCCUACAGAACACCUACUGAACGCUGGCAGAAGACUUCAGACCUCCCAAAAGCAAAGAAGACUGCAGAGGGUGAAAACAUGAACUUUUGGAGCCAGACACACCAGCAAGCAAUAAACAUUUGAACAGAGGUGCUGUCCAUCUGUCAGAAGCACAGCAUCUGACGGGGGAGUCAAAGCUGACCAAAUGGGGGCCAGCAGGAGAGGUGCCAUGAUCGUGCCAAGGUAACUACAGG
Molecule: long non-coding RNA, 293 nt
Organism: Lagenorhynchus albirostris (white-beaked dolphin)
Lineage: Eukaryota; Metazoa; Chordata; Mammalia; Artiodactyla; Delphinidae
Exons: 4
Source: RefSeq, a predicted model, not a curated record